Molecule: non-coding RNA, 74 nt
Organism: Rhinolophus ferrumequinum (greater horseshoe bat)
Lineage: Eukaryota; Metazoa; Chordata; Mammalia; Chiroptera; Rhinolophidae
Source: the annotation of a RefSeq genome assembly
GGCCAGUUAGCUCAGUUGGUUAGAGUGUGGUGCUUAUAACACCAAGAUUGCUGGUUCGAUCCCCACAUGGGCCA